RNAcentral lists this small nuclear RNA (183 nucleotides) under Triticum dicoccoides. Its description in RNAcentral is "snRNA U2". It matches the Rfam family "U2 spliceosomal RNA". From Rfam's summary of the family: U2 is a small nuclear RNA (snRNA) component of the spliceosome (involved in pre-mRNA splicing). Lineage: Eukaryota; Viridiplantae; Streptophyta; Magnoliopsida; Poales; Poaceae. The record is from RNAcentral.
AUACCUUUCUUGGCCGAGAGGCCAAGAUCAAGUGUAGUAUCUAUUUGAUACGUGGAUUUUCAAAUCCAUCCUAUGAUAUUAAUUUAUUUUUUUAUGAAGGAGGGCCCACCACAGCAGCUAGCUGCUAGGGCCCUUGAGCGUCGUCAUGGUCUUGCACUAUAGCCUUGAAUUGAUGCACCCCAA